Molecule: ribosomal RNA, 183 nt
Filed under: Bacillus thuringiensis serovar pingluonsis
Lineage: Bacteria; Bacillati; Bacillota; Bacilli; Caryophanales; Bacillaceae
Description: partial 16S ribosomal RNA
Rfam family: Bacterial small subunit ribosomal RNA
Source: RNAcentral
CUUUAUUGGAGAGUUUGAUCCUGGCUCAGGAUGAACGCUGGCGGCGUGCCUAAUACAUGCAAGUCGAGCGAACUUCAUAAGAGCUUGCUCUUAUGAAGUUAGCGGCGGACGGGUGAGUAACACGUGGGUAACCUGCCCAUAAGACUGGGAUAACUCCGGGAAACCGGGGCUAAUACCGGAUAA